This 574-nucleotide long non-coding RNA is filed under the name Callithrix jacchus (white-tufted-ear marmoset). Its description in RNAcentral is "lncRNA (ENSCJAG00000071244.1)". Lineage: Eukaryota; Metazoa; Chordata; Mammalia; Primates; Cebidae. The record is from RNAcentral.
CAACCCUGUAUAUUAUGUAACCAUGUCAUGUGAGGUGCAUUAGGUAACUCAUGUGAGCUCAUUCUUGGUUAGGAGCCACUGUUGUCUGUAAAAGGUAUAACUAACCUGCUGAGGCUGUACAUAUGGCUCAUGCCCAGAGAGAGAAUAAAGCCAUGUCACAAAUGCCUAUGAUUCCUAUGAUUCUCAAGUGUUUUUCCAGCUACAUGCCACCUGCCCACUGAGUCCCCUUGGACUCCAGCUUGAGCUUGAACCUGAUAACUGGUGUAGUCAGCAGGAUCCCGAGGGUGGCCAGCCAGCAGCACACCAUCCAGGCCCUGCAACACUUAUGUGCCCUGUAUGGCUGCCCUCUGGCCAUUGAGAGUGAUAGGGGAACACAUUUCACUGGGCAACAGUGCUAUGAAUGGUGUAAGCAAGACUCUCUUGAGAGAGAAGGGCUUCAUGGAGAAGCUGAUUUUGCUGGUGGUGAAGCAGGGGAUGGUCAUUCCGGGCAGAGGUUGCAGGUAAGCCCAGGUAUGUCUUGGAACAUUUAGAAUGCAUGGAGAAUGUGCAGGAGAUGAGUCUGGAAAGGAAGGAC